Molecule: ribosomal RNA, 753 nt
Filed under: Streptomyces sp.
Lineage: Bacteria; Bacillati; Actinomycetota; Actinomycetes; Kitasatosporales; Streptomycetaceae
Description: bacterial SSU rRNA
Rfam family: Bacterial small subunit ribosomal RNA
Source: RNAcentral
CCACUUCGGUGGGGAUUAGUGGCGAACGGGUGAGUAACACGUGGGCAAUCUGCCCUUCACUCUGGGACAAGCCCUGGAAACGGGGUCUAAUACCGGAUACCACUCUCACAGGCAUCUGUGGGGGUUGAAAGCUCCGGCGGUGAAGGAUGAGCCCGCGGCCUAUCAGCUUGUUGGUGAGGUAACGGCUCACCAAGGCGACGACGGGUAGCCGGCCUGAGAGGGCGACCGGCCACACUGGGACUGAGACACGGCCCAGACUCCUACGGGAGGCAGCAGUGGGGAAUAUUGCACAAUGGGCGAAAGCCUGAUGCAGCGACGCCGCGUGAGGGAUGACGGCCUUCGGGUUGUAAACCUCUUUCAGCAGGGAAGAAGCGAAAGUGACGGUACCUGCAGAAGAAGCGCCGGCUAACUACGUGCCAGCAGCCGCGGUAAUACGUAGGGCGCAAGCGUUGUCCGGAAUUAUUGGGCGUAAAGAGCUCGUAGGCGGCUUGUCACGUCGGGUGUGAAAGCCCGGGGCUUAACCCCGGGUCUGCAUUCGAUACGGGCUAGCUAGAGUGUGGUAGGGGAGAUCGGAAUUCCUGGUGUAGCGGUGAAAUGCGCAGAUAUCAGGAGGAACACCGGUGGCGAAGGCGGAUCUCUGGGCCAUUACUGACGCUGAGGAGCGAAAGCGUGGGGAGCGAACAGGAUUAGAUACCCUGGUAGUCCACGCCGUAAACGGUGGGAACUAGGUGUUGGCGACAUUCCACGUCGUCG